ACACUUUGGAUUCCUUUUCAUUUCAUUACAUCACUUCAUCAUUUCCUUCUUACAACACAUUUACCUCAAAAUAAGCUUACAUUCUUUUCUUUAUACAUUAACAUCUUAAAUCACCAAAUACAAAAGAUGAUAAAAGGGUAUCUACUAGCAAAAUGUAACCCAACUCCGGUGGCCUCUGACUACGGUGCGAUACCUUUACCGC
Molecule: long non-coding RNA, 202 nt
Filed under: Ananas comosus (pineapple)
Lineage: Eukaryota; Viridiplantae; Streptophyta; Magnoliopsida; Poales; Bromeliaceae
Description: long non-coding RNA (ACOM_LNC043107)
Source: RNAcentral